RNAcentral lists this ribosomal RNA (325 nucleotides) under uncultured bacterium. RNAcentral's name for it is "bacterial SSU rRNA". It matches the Rfam family "Bacterial small subunit ribosomal RNA", at positions 28 to 334 of the family's 1533-position model. The record is from RNAcentral.
GAUGAACGCUGGCGGCGUGCUUAACACAUGCAAGUCGAACGGAACUACUCCGAUGAGAAUCUUCGGAAAGGAUUUGGUUUAGUUUAGUGGCGGACGGGUGAGUAACGCGUGGGUAACCUGCCCUAUACAGGGGGAUAACAGUUGGAAACGACUGUUAAUACCGCAUAAGCGCACAGGAGCGCAUGCUCCGGUGUGAAAAACUCCGGUGGUAUAGGAUGGACCCGCGUCUGAUUAGCUGGUUGGCGGGGUAACGGCCCACCAAGGCGACGAUCAGUAGCCGGCCUGAGAGGGUGAACGGCCACAUUGGGACUGAGACACGGCCCAA